This is a long non-coding RNA of Cataglyphis hispanica, 537 nucleotides long. RefSeq lists it as uncharacterized. NCBI's taxonomy places the organism in Eukaryota, Metazoa, Arthropoda, Insecta, Hymenoptera, Formicidae. The record is from RefSeq and is a predicted model, not a curated record. The transcript has 4 exons.
CCGCAAUGUAUCCGUAAAAUGUGGAUCCAAAAAGAAAGAGAAUACGAUUCGUCAACGUAUCAAGACGGCAGGUCUCAAAAUUAUCUCGUCGUGCGAUUACUCGAAGUGUAUUACGCGAAGUGUGCGAUUACUCGAUUCUGGCGGGAAACGGCAUAUCGCUUCGCGAUCGCGAAUUUCGCGAGUGUUGUAACAAAAUGUCGCGCGUUUAAAUGCAGGAGUGUCGUUUCAAGUAUCGCGCAUUUAAGUGCGAGAGUGCUGUUUAAAAUAUCGCGUGUCAUGAAUUAACGGACUCUGCUAAUUCUGACGAUCUGAAAGGAGGAGCAGGCCUAGGAGAGGCAUCGCGCGCCGUAAUUCUAGAUUAAUGCAGCUUCAAUAACCAAUCCUGCUUGGGCAUCAAUUAUGUGUUACGUGUGAUUGUUCUGCGAUCGAUGUCGUGCAAAGUAUUCUGCGAUCAUUGUAUAUACGAUAUUAAUCAUAAUUAAUUGUAUUUUCGCGAGUGACUGUGAGUGUUAUGAUUAAACAGCAAAAGAUGAACAA